GACGAACCGUGCGAACGUUAUUCGGAAUCACUGGCUAAGCGCGUGUAGCGAUGGGGACGUCGGUCGCUGAAAUCCCGGCUCAACCGGGAACGGGCGCCGAAACGCCCGUCUCGAGGGACGUAGGGACCCUGGGAAACUUUCCCGGGUGGGAGCGGGUGAAAUGCGUUUGAGAUCGGGAAAGGGAAACGCCCGUGGGCGAAAGCGAGGGUCCCUGGGCGUC
This 220-nucleotide ribosomal RNA is filed under the name uncultured bacterium. Its description in RNAcentral is "partial 16S ribosomal RNA". It matches the Rfam family "Bacterial small subunit ribosomal RNA", at positions 524 to 737 of the family's 1533-position model. The record is from RNAcentral.